UACGGAGGGAGCUAGCGUUGUUCGGAAUUACUGGGCGUAAAGCGCGCGUAGGUGGUUUGUUAAGUUGGAUGUGAAAUCCCCGGGCUCAACCUGGGAACUGCAUUCAAAACUGACAAGCUAGAGUAUGGUAGAGGGUGGUGGAAUUUCCUGUGUAGCGGUGAAAUGCGUAGAUAUAGGAAGGAACACCAGUGGCGAAGGCGACCACCUGGACUGAUACUGACACUGAGGUGCGAAAGCGUGGGGAGCAAACAGG
Molecule: ribosomal RNA, 253 nt
Filed under: uncultured bacterium
Lineage: Bacteria
Description: partial 16S ribosomal RNA
Rfam family: Bacterial small subunit ribosomal RNA
Source: RNAcentral